RNAcentral lists this ribosomal RNA (425 nucleotides) under uncultured bacterium. RNAcentral's name for it is "bacterial SSU rRNA". It matches the Rfam family "Bacterial small subunit ribosomal RNA", at positions 355 to 772 of the family's 1533-position model. The record is from RNAcentral.
UGGGGAAUUUUGGACAAUGGGCGCAAGCCUGAUCCAGCAAUGCCGCGUGCAGGAUGAAGGCCUUCGGGUUGUAAACUGCUUUUGGACGGAGCGAAAAGGCUUCCACUAAUACUGGGGGCUCAUGACGGUACCGUAAGAAUAAGCCCCGGCCAACUCCGUGCCAGCAGCCGCGGUAAUACGUAGGGUGCAAGCGUUAAUCGGAAUUACUGGGCGUAAAGCGUGCGCAGGCGGUUAUGUAAGACAGAUGUGAAAUCCCCGGGCUUAACCUGGGAACUGCAUUUGUGACUGCAUAGCUAGAGUACGGUAGAGGGGGAUGGAAUUCCGCGUGUAGCAGUGAAAUGCGUAGAUAUGCGGAGGAACACCGAUGGCGAAGGCAAUCCCCUGGACCUGUACUGACGCUCAUGCACGAAAGCGUGGGGAGCAAA